Glycine soja is the source of this 232-nucleotide long non-coding RNA. RefSeq lists it as uncharacterized. The record is from RefSeq and is a predicted model, not a curated record. Lineage: Eukaryota; Viridiplantae; Streptophyta; Magnoliopsida; Fabales; Fabaceae. The transcript is spliced from 3 exons.
GAGCAUCAGUCGAAGUUUAAAGAUGGAGAAGAUAUACCUCCUUUAGUGGAUGUCUCUUCCAAAGCAAUCAUCAAUAGAGCUGAAUUGAGUUCUAAUUAUAGGACAUCCAGUGGCUCUGAUAUGACAUUGUCAAGUUCUGAUGACAGUUCCUAAGAGGUUCAGGCUUGCAAAGGACACAACAUUUGGACAAAGGCACUUGAAUAAGUGGAGUCAGUCAUCAAUUUCCUUAUGG